UAGGGGAAACAGACACAUGAGUAGUAAUUGCCAUAUCUACUGCGUUAAGCGGCUUGAGAGAGUAAAGAAAGGAAGGACCAAGAUGGGGACUAAUUGAUUCUGUUUGAAGGUGGGAAGACUGUGCCAGGCAGAGGACAAAGCGAGGGAUGAGACUGGAAUGGCGACAUUCCAAAGCAAAGCAAGAGCCAGAGCAAAGCACAGACGAAGAGUUGGAGAUCUUGAGCAAUACACCUGGAGCGGAGGAUGGGAGAGCCAAGCAUGGCUGGGAUGAGCUGGAAAGAUGCUUUUGCUAUCUGGAAACUUAUGCCCACGUCUGUGACUGCGGGUCAGAAUUGCUUUCCUCACAUUCUGAUUGGGAGAGUUGUUAAACAUUGGAAUGUCCUUCUGAGCUGGGCUGUGGAAUGUCAUCGCUCCCAGGUGACUACAGAAGCCUCGACACCCAGCGUGGUCAGCCCCGCCCACUGGCCGCCAGGAAGGGCAGUGAGCCUGAAGGUUGAGCGCAGCACUUGUGGCCAAUGAUGCAAUCAACCCUGCUUUACGGGCUUACGUAAGAAGACCGCCCUUGAAGAAGCCUAUGGGUGGUGUUUGGUGAGCGGCUCCCUUGAGUAUGUGGUGGAGGGAGGUUGGCGUCCUGGACACAGGUGGAAGCUUCACACACUCUGCCCUGUACCUCUCUCUGUUCCAUUUGGCUGCCUGUACCUGGGCUGUGUCCUUGAUGAUAAACCACCAGUCCGGCUCCUCUGUCCAUGGGAUUCUCCAGGCAAGAAUACUGGAGUGGGUUGCCAUGCCCUCCUCCAGAGGAUCUUCCCAACCCAGGGAUUGAACCCAGGUCUCCUGCAUUGCAGGCAGAUUCUUUCCCAUAUGAGCUGCAAAGAAGUUCCUCCAACUUUUGAAGUAGAUGCCAAAACAUACCCGAGGACAGAGAGCCCAGGGUCUGCGGGACAGGAAACAAGCAUCUCUGGUUUAUUGAGCAGCGGGAGCAGGAAGAGCCGAGGGACAAGAGGGCAGCAGAAACCAAGAAUCAAACCUGGUCACGAGGCCACAUCAGCCCCGCUUGGCAGACAGGCCCAGUGGCUUUGUGAGUAAAUUUCCAAGCCAUCAAGAAGAAAUACGGUUGUCUCUCCAGCGUUCCAACAGGACCAUUCCAACAUCACUUGAACGCUCCUGUGUCCAAAGUCAUGAAAUCCUCCAGGACCAUGGAAGAGUUUCAAACUAUUGCUGCGGAAGACGAAGCGUUGUACAAGGGCUGCAUGACAUGUAUUCUUGGAGAUACAGCUUGCAACUCCGCAUGCGUAAAAGGGAAUCACAGCUGCUUAUCUGAAACGUCUUCAUCAUCCAUUUGGAAAUGAAGGAUUCCGCCUGCUCUACUUCCAUCACCACAGGAAGCCACACCCAGCUGACUUCUCAGUCCAGACUUGUUCUCAAGGUCACCUAUGUAAUUUUUUUUUUCCCCCUGAAGCCUCAGUGUUCUUCGUCUUCUCGGAGAUAAUAGCCCUAAGCCCUUCAGUCAUCAUUUCCUUGUCCUCAAUUUUCUUCCUGGCUUCCUGCAAUUUUAAUCCCAAGCCCCUGCAAUUCCUUGCCUUGGAGGUUUAAGUGGCCCCAUUUACAACCGAUUUUCAGCUAAUAUUUGAUGCAUUCUUUUCAAAUAAACCAAACUGUCCUCCUCUGCAGGCUUGGUGCUUUUGCACCUAAUAAAAUCAGAGGGUUGAUAGUGGGCUUUUAAACUGAUGUGGUUUCUCUUCUGUGACUUUUACAGAAAAAUAGAUCUUUCAAAGUAGGAAAUAGACCUGUUCCUGAUGGGUUAAUUUCAGAAUCUCGUGCUGUCAUUAAUCAAGGGAAAGAAAUCGCUCUUUCAUCUGCCCUUUGCUCCAGUUCUUACAAAGGAGAGGGAAUGAGAGUGGGGUAGAUGAGUAAAGAAAUCAUAGACUCUUUUUCUGGGGGCUCUUUCCUUCUAACCUUCUCUGGGUGCCUUAUCUCCGGCCCCUUCUGUAAGCUGAUCCAGCUCAUGUCGGCCUGACACAUGAACCAUGCAAAGCUGCUUUCUAAAGAGAUUUUAAUUCCUGCUUGACAGGCUAGGCUGAAGCCCAUGAGCGACAAUAGAUGGUGUUUUUUUUUUUUUUUUUUUAAACAAGACUGAAAACCAUGGCGCACCUGGUAUUUCAUUGAACAUCAGACAGACAUAUUAUUUUUUUCUCAGAAAAGGAAAAAAAAAAAAGUUAAAAAUAGCUAAACUUUAAGUAAUAAAAUACAGCUCAGUUUGCCAGGAGUCCUGUAUUAAGAGAGCCACCAUUUUUGGCCUGCCUGAAGACUGUUUUUGUCCCUAAUCUGUUUUAAAUCUUCUGAGGGUUUUAUCGUUUUUUCCGCCUUUCCAUAAAAUUAACUCAAUAUAUUUUUUUUAAUCCUAGUCUGAAAUUUCAUCCUUCAUGAGCCCCCUGCGUGGCUGAGUUUCAAAGUAUCACGUCAUGUAAGAUAAAUGACAUCUUUGGACCCAAGAUAUCUGGGUUCACUGAUCAUGUUUAAUGUCUUGGGUGGGGGUGGAGUUAGAAACUGGGAUCUUCCUUCAGGAUUGUAUGAGGCCAGAUCCAGAAUAAAUGAAAACGAUUUAGGAGUUGCCUACACAUCCUCUUGCAAACGCAAAUUGAGCGGGCCCCCUCCCUUUUUUUUUUUAUGACCGUAGCAAAUUUCAGCUAGCUUUUGUUCCUGGCCGGUGGUGUGCAUUAUGCGCAUAAAUAAGGUCUGCACAUAAUAAGGAUAACUCUGAUCACAGAGAUAGUGGUGGCGGUGCUUUGACGAGGGUGGUGACUGUCAUUUAUUAACUGGGCACCAGGCUUCGUGUUCGCUCUCCUUGAUUUUUUUUCUAUUUAAUUUGCAUACCAGCUCCAGGCGCUGGAUGUUGUCACUUCUGUUUUACCAUUGGGGAACAGGGAGACUAGGCUGGCACAAGUUGGGGUGACCUGCUUGGUGCAGUCCUUGGUGUGAGCUUGGUGCCAGAGCUGAUACCACAUGGCACAAAGUUGGUUUAAUCAGCCUUUUGCACAGAAACUCCUUAUUUACAUCAAGGGAAAAAGAGCCAUUUAGAACUGUAGGGCACAGCUCAAUUUACAUAAUACUUUCCUGAGCAUUAUCUUAAUCCUUCCAGCGUGCUUAGGAGAGAGGUGGUCUUACCAUCUCCAUUGUGUGUUUCUUCUUUGUUGUUCUUUGCUGGCUGAUACUAAUUUUGACGUCUUGGAGGAAUUGCAGACUGCUAAAGUUAAAGGACGCUUGUUGGUUAUGUGAGCUACGUUUAUAGUUCAGCAUUUGAGUAACUGUUUUAUUAAUGUUCCCAUGGAAGAGACUGUUCUUUUCUAGUUAUUUAAAGGAGGCCUGCUGCAUUCGUGGGUAUAAAUUUUGCUCAUGAGGGCUUGCAGCACUAUGUGUUUUUCAGUGGGUAUGUUUUAAAAUUGUAUGAGAA
This is a long non-coding RNA of Bos taurus (domestic cattle), 3451 nucleotides long. The record is from Ensembl. Lineage: Eukaryota; Metazoa; Chordata; Mammalia; Artiodactyla; Bovidae.